UACGAGGGCCCCAAGCGUUGUCCGGAUUUAUUGGGCGUAAAGCGCGCGUAGGAGGUUUCACAGGUCUAAGGUUAAAUCAUUCCGCUCAACGGGGUGGCCGCCUUGGAAACCGUGAAGCUAGAGGGCGUUAGAGGCAGAUGGAACGCACGGUGUAGGGGUGAAAUCCGUUGAUAUCGUGCGGAACACCAAAGGCGAAGGCAUUCUGCUGGGACGUUCCUGACUCUGAGGGCGCGAAAGCGUGGGUAGCGAAUGGG
This 254-nucleotide ribosomal RNA is filed under the name uncultured bacterium. RNAcentral's name for it is "partial 16S ribosomal RNA". It matches the Rfam family "Bacterial small subunit ribosomal RNA", at positions 524 to 776 of the family's 1533-position model. The record is from RNAcentral.